Molecule: ribosomal RNA, 470 nt
Filed under: uncultured bacterium
Lineage: Bacteria
Description: bacterial SSU rRNA
Rfam family: Bacterial small subunit ribosomal RNA
Source: RNAcentral
CUACGCACUCCUACGGGAGGCAGCAGUGGGAAUAUUGCACAAUGGGCGCAAGCCUGAUGCAGCCAUGCCGCGUGUAUGAAGAAGGCCUUCGGGUUGUAAAGUACUUUCAGCAGUGAGGAAGGUGGAUAUGUUAAUAGCAUAUUCAUUUGACGUUAGCUGCAGAAGAAGCACCGGCUAACUCCGUGCCAGCAGCCGCGGUAAUACGGAGGGUGCGAGCGUUAAUCGGAAUUACUGGGCGUAAAGCGCAUGCAGGUGGUUUGUUAAGUCAGAUGUGAAAGCCCGGGGCUCAACCUCGGAAUUGCAUUUGAAACUGGCAAACUAGAGUACUGUAGAGGGGGUAGAAUUUCAGGUGUAGCGGUGAAAUGCGUAGAGAUCUGAAGGAAUACCGGUGGCGAAGGCGGCCCCCUGGACAGAUACUGACACUCAGAUGCGAAAGCGUGGGGAGCAAACAGGAUUAGAUACCCUGGUAG